This 519-nucleotide ribosomal RNA is filed under the name uncultured bacterium. RNAcentral's name for it is "bacterial SSU rRNA". It matches the Rfam family "Bacterial small subunit ribosomal RNA", at positions 10 to 509 of the family's 1533-position model. The record is from RNAcentral.
ACUUUGAUUAUGGCUCGGAUUGAACGCUGGCGGCAGGCCUAACACAUGCAAGUCGAGCGGAAACGGCAACAUUGACUCUUCGGAUGAUUUGUUGGACGUCGAGCGGCGGACGGGUGAGUAAUGCUUAGGAAUUUGCCCAGUCGAGGGGGAUAACUAUUGGAAACGAUAGCUAAUACCGCAUACGCCCUACGGGGGAAAAGAGGGGACCUUCGGGCCUUCUGCGAUUGGAUAAGCCUAAGUGAGAUUAGCUAGUUGGUGAGGUAAUGGCUCACCAAGGCGACGAUCUCUAGCUGGUCUGAGAGGAUGAUCAGCCACACUGGAACUGAGACACGGUCCAGACUCCUACGGGAGGCAGCAGUGGGGAAUAUUGCACAAUGGGCGCAAGCCUGAUGCAGCCAUGCCGCGUGUGUGAAGAAAACCUUCGGGUUGUAAAGCACUUUCAGCAGUGAGGAAGGUGGUAGUGUUAAUAGCACUAUUAUUUGACGUUAGCUGCAAAAAAGCCCCGGCUAACUCCGUGCC